RNAcentral lists this long non-coding RNA (1053 nucleotides) under Dasypus novemcinctus (nine-banded armadillo). RNAcentral's name for it is "lncRNA (ENSDNOG00000050353.1)". Lineage: Eukaryota; Metazoa; Chordata; Mammalia; Cingulata; Dasypodidae. The record is from RNAcentral.
CAAGAUGGGUCUCCAGAUUUUUUUUGGCUCUUUUUCUGGUCACUGAGGAAAAUUUUUCAUUCAAAUACAUUUCUAGAUGACCUCUUGUUCUAAUAUAGGGAUAUUGCUGUUUUGUAGGAAGCCUGUGCCUUCAUCACAUCUAGACAUAAUAAUGCUAUAUUAUAUUUUGACUUACUAGAUGUCCUUGGAUACGAAGCGGAAGCCAGGCGCCCUUACUCCUAAGGACACUGCAAGAGCCCAGAAGUCCACAGAUGAGCUGAUGCUGUUGUACUUGUCAAGGCUGCUAGAUCUUCCAGUCACCUGAUGUCCUCUGUUCUCCUACAAAUGUGGUACCACUUGCUGCAGUCAGCAGUCGUGAGGGCAGUAUCCCAAGAACUCUGUGCUGCAGCGGCUGCUGGAGCAUGAUUGCUGAGUUGCCAGUGCAAGGAGCAGAAGGAAAAAAAAGAAUUCUCUCUUUUUUACUUUGAUCUGCUUUCACAUGGAUUCUGGCAACGCAAUCUGGGAAAUGUAGUUUUCCAAUUCCAGCCACAGAAAAGAGCAUGGAAAAGUGGGAAUGAAGUUGAGAAUCAACAGACAAAUGAUCUGCUUAGCACUCAUUUUUUUUCCCUGAUGGAAUGUACAAUUUUCUAAAAAUGUAGACUUGGAAUUCAUUGCUAGAGUAUAGGUGUCAUUAACUCAGUGGUAAUAUUAAAACUACAUAUUAUUGAAAUUUUUCUUAACUUGUUUUAGGAGAUGGAAUUUGGUUACCUAAAACUAAAGUUAAUAUUCAGGCAGUACACACUAAUAAUCCUAUAUCCAUUAUGUAUAGCCAGUAUCUGUUCUGAUUAGUCAUAUUAACAUUUUUGACUGGUCUGUGUUCAUGCCUUAUCAGCAAUAAAUAUUUUGAACAUUACCCACUCCUCCCUAAAACUGUUCUAGUUUGUUAUUUAUUAUUAUAUGCUUAUUAAAUAGCCUUAAUCACAGUGAAAUAAUAAUAUUGAAAUUUAGCCUAUGAAAAAACUUCAGAUUUUGCUUUAAUAAUUUAAAAUAUAAUAAUUUAUUUUAUAAUAUCUA